RNAcentral lists this ribosomal RNA (253 nucleotides) under uncultured bacterium. RNAcentral describes it as "partial 16S ribosomal RNA". It matches the Rfam family "Bacterial small subunit ribosomal RNA", at positions 524 to 776 of the family's 1533-position model. The record is from RNAcentral.
GACGUAGGGCGCGAGCGUUGUUCGGAUUCACUGGGCGUAAAGGGUGCGUAGGCGGUUGGGUAAGUCUGAUGUGAAAUCUCACAGCUUAACUGUGAAACUGCAUUGGAUACUAUCCGGCUAGAGGAAUGGAGGGGAGACUGGAAUACUUGGUGUAGCAGUGAAAUGCGUAGAUAUCAAGUGGAACACCAGUGGCGAAGGCGAGUCUCUGGGCCUUACCUGACGCUGAGGAGCGAAAGCGUGGGGAGCAAACAGG